GGUGGUAGGCUCAGUGGUAGAGCGCGUGCUUAGCACACACGAGGCCCUGAAUUCAAUCCCCAGUACCUCCA
Molecule: transfer RNA, 71 nt
Filed under: Camelus dromedarius (Arabian camel)
Lineage: Eukaryota; Metazoa; Chordata; Mammalia; Artiodactyla; Camelidae
Also listed under: 1 other name
Rfam family: tRNA
About the family: Transfer RNA (tRNA) molecules are approximately 80 nucleotides in length.
Source: Rfam by way of RNAcentral